CCUACGGGCGGCUGCAGUCGAGAAUUAUUCACAAUGGGGGAAACCCUGAUGGUGCGACGCCGCGUGGGGGAAUGAAGGUCUUCGGAUUGUAAACCCCUGUCAUGUGGGAGCAAAUUAAAAAGAUAGUACCACAAGAGGAAGAGACGGCUAACUCUGUGCCAGCAGCAGCGGUAAUACAGAGGUCUCAAGCGUUGUUCGGAAUCACUGGGCGUAAGGCGUGCGUAGGCUGUUUCGUAAGUCGUGUGUGAAAGGCGCGGGCUCAACCCGCGGACGGCACAUGAUACUGCGAGACUAGAGUAAUGGAGGGGGAACCGGAAUUCUCGGUGUAGCAGUGAAAUGCGUAGAUAUCGAGAGGAACACUCGUGGCGAAGGCGGGUUCCUGGACAUUAACUGACGCUGAGGCACGAAGGCCAGGGGAGCGAAAGGGAUUAGAUACCCCGGUAGUC
Molecule: ribosomal RNA, 446 nt
Filed under: uncultured bacterium
Lineage: Bacteria
Description: partial 16S ribosomal RNA
Rfam family: Bacterial small subunit ribosomal RNA
Source: RNAcentral